GGCUCAGAACGAACGCUGGCAGCGUGGAUUAGGCAUGCAAGUCGAACGGGAUCCGGUAGGCAGCAAUGUCGGCCGGUGAGAGUGGCGGAAGGGCGAGGAACACGUGGGCAACCUGUCUUGAGGUGGGGAAAACCGCUGGAAACGGCGGCUAAUACCGAAUGUAGCGCCCGCUCGCAUGAGCGGAGCGCCAAAGGGGGCGAAAGCUCCCCCUCUUCGAGGGGCCCGCGCACCAUCAGCUUGUUGGCGGGGUAACGGCCCACCAAGGCUCACGGUUAGCUGGUCUGAGAGGAUGGCCAGCCGCACUGGGACUGAGAUACUGCCCAGACUCCUACGGGAGGCUGCAGUCGAGGAUCAUUUGCAAUGGGCGAAAGCCUGACAAUGCGACGCUGCGUGGAAGGAUGAAGGCCCUCGGGUUGUAAACUCCUGUCAUGGGGGAAAAGGAAACCCUGCCCAAUACGCAGGGAAUUUGAUGGUACCCCAAGAGGAAGCGACGGCUAACUCUGUGCCAGCCGCAGC
This 516-nucleotide ribosomal RNA is filed under the name uncultured bacterium. RNAcentral's name for it is "bacterial SSU rRNA". It matches the Rfam family "Bacterial small subunit ribosomal RNA", at positions 21 to 518 of the family's 1533-position model. The record is from RNAcentral.